UAUUAAUAUAAUGCAAAAAUUCGUAUAUAAUCGAUAAUAUGGUUCGAAAGUUUCUACCUGCUAACCUUAAAUAUGCAGACUACGAGAAUUGCGUAAUAUAAU
This is a regulatory RNA element of 102 nucleotides. It matches the Rfam family "Purine riboswitch aptamer". From Rfam's summary of the family: Riboswitches are metabolite binding domains within certain messenger RNAs that serve as precision sensors for their corresponding targets. The record is from Rfam.